Molecule: small nuclear RNA, 256 nt
Filed under: Mus pahari (shrew mouse)
Lineage: Eukaryota; Metazoa; Chordata; Mammalia; Rodentia; Muridae
Description: sRNA (MGP_PahariEiJ_G0008083.1)
Rfam family: 7SK RNA
About the family: 7SK was discovered as an abundant small nuclear RNA in the mid-70s but a possible function has only recently been suggested.
Source: RNAcentral
GAGUGUAAAGGAAAUCUGUGAUAUCUGUUACCACAUUGAUUGGGAGAUCUGACUGGCUAGGUAGGUGGGUGUCCACUCCUCCAUGGCUACUCCAUGUGCCUCUCCUAAAGAUUCAUGGUCAGCUGAGGAGAAUGACCAUUCUUCUAUCAUGGGGUUAGUUGCACUCCCCUGCUAGAAGCUCCCAAGUUUUCAAAGUAAGCAAUUUGAGAGUUAGUUCAGCAAGACACUGCAGGUAGAACACGUGCCACUGCCAUAC